RNAcentral lists this unclassified non-coding RNA (391 nucleotides) under Hevea brasiliensis (rubber tree). Lineage: Eukaryota; Viridiplantae; Streptophyta; Magnoliopsida; Malpighiales; Euphorbiaceae. The record is from RNAcentral.
GGGUUAUUGAGGUAGCCAAAAUAAUUUACGGAGUUCAUGAUGAGGCAAAGGACAAGGCAUUUGAACUGGAAAUGAGUUGGGUGUGUGAUGAGUCUAACCGGCAGCACCAGAAGGUUCCCGCUGAUCUGUUAGAGGAAGCCAAGGAUGCAGCUAAAGCUGCACUUGAAGAGAUGGACGCAGACUAGUGGCGCAAAUACAACUCUGCUUGCUCUCUCUAUUUACUACUUUUAUCAACUGAAUCAAAUAGUCUGCUGUGGCUCUGUCAUGUUCGGAAUUUGGCACCUGUAUGACAAUUGUUUUUAGUGAUGAAAGAGAUCUGAUAUUGUUUUCACUGUUGACUGUAAUCUGUACGCGUAAAUUUCGUAGAUCAAAGAGGAUAGGUUGCUUUCUU